GCGGAAUAUUUUUUAGUGGAUCUGCGCACUUCAAAAGUCAAUUAAAUUAGGGUUCCAACCAAAUAACUCAUCUCCCAAAAUUUUAAUCCUUGCUUCUCUCCUGCUCCCCUACGUUUCACCAAAUUCUCGUAAUUAGGGUCCUAAUAUCCAUGGAAAUCCACUCAUAAGGUGAUGUGUUGUUUUUAGUGUAGUACCUAGGGUUGGGGUGAAGCUUCACCGGACAAAUACAAUUGCAUCCAUGUUGCCGAGACACCAAUGAUGGAUUCUUUAAAAAACAGCGCCCCUGAUCGGUGGAGAUUGGUGAAGGCUCAUGGUAAGUUGCUACUCAAAGGUGCUUGUGAACGCGGUGCCAAGAGGAUACGUGUUCAUGCACUUACUGAUAGCCGUGGUGUUGUGGAUGGUUCAAGUGUUGGCUUUGCACAGACACUUGAAAAGGAUCUUGCAGAGCUACGUGGGAAAGGCAUUGAUGCGCAGGUCGCAUCGGGUGGAGGUCGCAUGUAUGUCGCCAUGGACCGUUAUGAGUUAUAUGGCUAUUUAUGUGGCAUAAUAGUAGAGAUGGCAAAACGUGUUGUGCUCUUUUAAACGGGUGGAACCACACAUUUAACACGACAUGGUUUUAUGAUAAGGAUCGUCAAGGGAUUCGAUGAAGAUAUAUACGACAUGAGAUUGAAAAGUCGAAGUUGGUUAUCAAGGAAGUUCGUUAAGGAAAAGGAUGAAGAAAAAGAAAGGUUAAAUGGAGUUAUUGCGGGUUUGUUGGCUGAUAAAGAAAAAGAUAAGGUGGACAAAGAUGUCAUGCUCAAUAGGAUGUCACAAAUUGAAGCUAUGUUAACCGCUAUGGUUCGAAGAUAGGCUAUAAACAUUUGGUUUUGAACGUUUUGAUGUUUAUCAUAUUAGGAUAAUUUCGGUAAUUUAAUGUUUUAGUUAGCAUUUAUAUUAGAAUGUUUUAUAAUUUUAUACAUUUUUGGGAUUUUGUAA
RNA transcript from Helianthus annuus (common sunflower), 975 nucleotides. It is a transcript of the gene named 2,3-bisphosphoglycerate-independent phosphoglycerate mutase, with no coding region annotated. The record is from RefSeq and is a predicted model, not a curated record. NCBI's taxonomy places the organism in Eukaryota, Viridiplantae, Streptophyta, Magnoliopsida, Asterales, Asteraceae. The transcript is spliced from 6 exons.